GCAAACUUGGUCAUUUAGAGGAAGUAAAAGUCGUAACAAGGUUUCCGUAGGUGAACCUGCGGAAGGAUCAUUAAAGAUUUUUGGCCCUCGAGCCGAUACUCUUUGGCUGUGCGCUUUGGCUGCACGCCAUGGAACCUCACACACCUGUGCACAUCUCGGUUGUGGCUCGCUCACACGAGCCGCUCCCGCCUUUCACAUCAAACCACCAGUCCAGAAUGUACAAAACCGUAAAAGUAACAACUUUCAACAACGGAUCUCUUGGCUCUCGCAUCGAUGAAGAACGCAGC
RNAcentral lists this unclassified non-coding RNA (287 nucleotides) under uncultured fungus. RNAcentral describes it as "partial contains small subunit ribosomal RNA, internal transcribed spacer 1, and 5.8S ribosomal RNA". The stretch from base 1 to 73 matches the Rfam family "Eukaryotic small subunit ribosomal RNA", at positions 1759 to 1831 of the family's 1831-position model. The record is from RNAcentral. Lineage: Eukaryota; Fungi.